Molecule: ribosomal RNA, 106 nt
Filed under: Deschampsia cespitosa (tufted hair grass)
Lineage: Eukaryota; Viridiplantae; Streptophyta; Magnoliopsida; Poales; Poaceae
Description: partial 26S ribosomal RNA
Rfam family: Eukaryotic large subunit ribosomal RNA
Source: RNAcentral
GCGACCCCAGGUCAGACGGGACUACCCGCUGAGUUUAAGCAUAUAAAUAAGCGGAGGAGAAGAAACUUACAAGGAUUCCCCUAGUAACGGCGAGCGAACCGGGGAA